CUGCGUCCAACAAAUUCUAUUCAUUAACGAACGUACAGUAUUUAAUUAUUCAAGCGUAUUGAUGGCUUAUGUACUGUCCUCACUGAGGACAGUACAUAAGAAAUCAAUACGCUUGAGACUCCUCACUAUGACGCAAACAUGAAACAUUCGCAAACAAAAAAAUUCAAAGCGUUUCUUAGCUUUGCUGUUCAUUUCCUUAUAUGCUUAUGCUUAUCCUGUUGCUUAUGCUUAUCUUGCGUUGUAGUGAGGACACAGCUAUAGCAUAAGACAUUAAAGCGUUCUGCCUUUGAACUUAUGUAAUAAAGACCAGCCUAAUUAUAUAAUUUAGUUCAUCAAAAAAAUAAGCCUCAAUGAUAGAAUAGUAAAGACGACACACAGUCCCUCAAAAAUUUGCGCAAUGAUCCACAGGAAUGCUCUAAUAUAACAAAAGG
This is a non-coding RNA of Paramuricea clavata, 431 nucleotides long. NCBI's taxonomy places the organism in Eukaryota, Metazoa, Cnidaria, Anthozoa, Malacalcyonacea, Plexauridae. The record is from the annotation of a GenBank genome assembly.